GACGAACGCUGGCGGCGUGCUUAACACAUGCAAGUCGAACGGAAAGGCCCUGCUUUUGUGGGGUGCUCGAGUGGCGAACGGGUGAGUAACACGUGAGUAACCUGCCCUUGACUUUGGGAUAACUUCAGGAAACUGGGGCUAAUACCGGAUAGGAGCUCCUGCUGCAUGGUGGGGGUUGGAAAGUUUCGGCGGUUGGGGAUGGACUCGCGGCUUAUCAGCUUGUUUGUGGGGUAGUGGCUUACCAAGGCUUUGACGGGUAGCCGGCCUGAGAGGGUGACCGGGCACAUUGGGACGGAGAUACGGCCCAGACUCAUACGGGAGGCAGCAGUGGGGAAUAUUGCACAAUGGGCGGAAGCCUGAUGCAGCAACGCCGCGUGCGGGAUGACGGCCUUCGGGUUGUACACCGCUUUCGCCUGUGACGAAGCGUGAGUGACGGUAAUGGGUAAAGAAGCACCGGCUAACUACGU
RNAcentral lists this ribosomal RNA (467 nucleotides) under uncultured bacterium. RNAcentral's name for it is "partial 16S ribosomal RNA". It matches the Rfam family "Bacterial small subunit ribosomal RNA", at positions 28 to 506 of the family's 1533-position model. The record is from RNAcentral.